CGGGAGUUAACUGUAGCUGAAAGUAGGUGUUGAUGUUACUCCUAAUCCGUUCAUAACGCGUGCCGGCAAUGGGAAUACGACCACUAUAGGAGUAGACCGUACCGCUACGUUGGUCGAGUCUCUGCUUGGUGCUCUGUUUAAGCCGGUAGCUCCUGCCCAGUACGCCACGGUUGGUCACGUGCCGCAUGACGGUUUCGUUCAUCGUUCCCCGUCCGUGCACAAAAGGCUUCCCCACCUUCACGAGCAAGAAGUUCCUAUAAGUAGGGGGCUCCUUGAUCUAUACCGAUCAACGUAGCGUAUGGUACAUAUUUCAAAAAAGCACGUUCUUUCAGGUUAAUUUAUUUAUUCCUUUUGUUAC
This 358-nucleotide ribosomal RNA is filed under the name Triticum aestivum (bread wheat). Its description in RNAcentral is "partial small subunit ribosomal RNA". The record is from RNAcentral. Lineage: Eukaryota; Viridiplantae; Streptophyta; Magnoliopsida; Poales; Poaceae.